Molecule: unclassified non-coding RNA, 375 nt
Filed under: uncultured Acidimicrobiia bacterium
Lineage: Bacteria; Bacillati; Actinomycetota; Acidimicrobiia
Description: contains 16S-23S intergenic spacer region
Source: RNAcentral
UCCGGUUUAACACCGGCAGUCUCCGUAGAGUGCCCAACUAAAUGGUGGCAACUACGGACAAGGGUUGCGCUCGUUGCGGGACUUAACCCAACAUCUCACGACACGAGCUGACGACAACCAUGCACCACCUGUGCAGGGCCCCGAAGGACACCGUAUCUCUACGGCUUUUCCCUGCAUGUCAAGCCCAGGUAAGGUUCUUCGCGUUGCCUCGAAUUAAGCAACAUGCUCCGCCGCUUGUGCGGGCCCCCGUCAAUUCCUUUGAGUUUUAGCCUUGCGGCCGUACUCCCCAGGCGGGGCACUUAAUGCGUUAGCUACGGCACGGAGUCCGUCGAUAGGACCCCACACCUAGUGCCCAACGUUUACGGCGUGGACUAC